This 165-nucleotide small nuclear RNA is filed under the name Melitaea cinxia (Glanville fritillary). Its description in RNAcentral is "misc RNA ENSMCXG00005022933.1". It matches the Rfam family "U1 spliceosomal RNA". From Rfam's summary of the family: U1 is a small nuclear RNA (snRNA) component of the spliceosome (involved in pre-mRNA splicing). Its 5' end forms complementary base pairs with the 5' splice junction, thus defining the 5' donor site of an intron. There are significant differences in sequence and secondary structure between metazoan and yeast U1 snRNAs, the latter being much longer (568 nucleotides as compared to 164 nucleotides in human). The record is from RNAcentral. Lineage: Eukaryota; Metazoa; Arthropoda; Insecta; Lepidoptera; Nymphalidae.
AUAUUAACAGCGUCGGGGAUACCGUGAUCAAGAAGGCGGUUCCCCCAGAGCGAAACCUGAUCAUUAGGAUCUAGUAGUAGCGGGUUGACCUCUGGCGACUAUUCCUAGUGGGAUAGCUCGGGCGCAUAAUUUUUUCAUGGGGUCUCGCGUUCGCGCGGACCCCCC